CUCCGCCCUUGGCCUUAGGAUGACUCCCCGCCCACCUAGCGGCUUUUCAUUGGCUUGGGUUUUGGUCCCAUCCCUGGCUCGGCCUCUUCGGUCCCGCCCCGCGAAGUUUGACAGCGCCGCGCCCAUGACUGCUUUUCAUUGGCUGUCAUUGCCCUCCUGAGACACACCCCCAGGGUGUGGACUGAGGAUUGACCAUUGCCCAGCACUCUGAUGACCCCCAUUAGUUUCAUGCCCAAAGGACAGCCCUUUGGUCUCAGCUGAGACAGGAGGAUCCACUCUGAGUUGAGAGUCAGCUAAGUGAUUGGCUCAAAGAUGAACGAAUGAGAGUAAGCCCUGGUGCUCUGGAAGGAACUAUUGGAAAAUCCUCCUCUUUCCGCUAAACUAACUAUGUAAGUUAGAAACCUAGAGCGAACUAAGGCUAUCUUAGUGACUUCAUGGGGAAAGCCUGCCUGAGAUUGAACCCAACAAAGAGGAACAGAGAUUCAAGAGAGUUGAGUUCCUCUUAAUACUGUCCAAACACCUGGAUCCAGCCAUGCCUGAGAGCAUAUACAUUUGGAUUUCUUGAUUGUAUUAGCCAACGAAUCCUUCUUUUUUGUUUAAGCUUCCUUGAACUGGGAUGGACUCUAAGUCUAUCCCAGGGCUGGAGCUGUCAGUUCAGGUACAGAGGGAAGGAAGUGGAUGAGGAUGUCACCUGCUUCAUUUCCUGAAGGGGGGCCACGGCCUUAGCCUGAGAUGUGCUCGUCACCUUGGCAAGAGUUGAGACUGCUAUGUCGGGUCUUCCUUCUGGUUCACUGGCUCCUGCUGAGAAGCCCCAGUUGACUUUGGUGGGGUAUGAGGAAUGUCUGCUGGGGACAUUGAUCAGGAAAGGUUUUCACCUGGGAGUGGAUGGGACUGAAGCAGGUACCUGCUGCAAGUCGACUGCUGGUGUCUGGAGAUUCAGGCCGCAGCCACCAAAAGUCAGCUGGGCCUGCAGGCUGGCGUUCCUCUCUGCUUGUAGGCUGAGCCUGGCGGAACCGGCUUAUGUACCUAUGAGCAUCAGAGAAUGGGAGGUGGGUGAAUGAGUGGAGCCACAUAAUAAUGACAAUAACAGUCACAAUAGUGACGUUUAUCAAGUA
Long non-coding RNA from Neofelis nebulosa (Clouded leopard), 1115 nucleotides. RefSeq lists it as uncharacterized. The record is from RefSeq and is a predicted model, not a curated record. Lineage: Eukaryota; Metazoa; Chordata; Mammalia; Carnivora; Felidae. The transcript is spliced from 3 exons.